GGAGGUGUAGCUCAGUGUUAGAGUGCUUGUCUGACAUGCUCAAGGCCCUUGGUUCAAAUCCCUGGUACCACCU
Heterocephalus glaber (naked mole-rat) is the source of this 73-nucleotide non-coding RNA. NCBI's taxonomy places the organism in Eukaryota, Metazoa, Chordata, Mammalia, Rodentia, Bathyergidae. The record is from Rfam.